This 1870-nucleotide ribosomal RNA is filed under the name hypolithon metagenome. RNAcentral describes it as "bacterial LSU rRNA". It matches the Rfam family "Bacterial large subunit ribosomal RNA", at positions 1 to 1973 of the family's 2925-position model. The record is from RNAcentral.
CAAAGCGAAUAAGGGCAUACGGGGGAUGCCUUGGCGUCCAGUGCCGAUGAAGGACGUGGUACACUGCGAAAAGCGCGGACGAGGGGUGUGCACCCGCAAGAGUCCGCGAUGUCCGAAUGGGGAAACCCGGUGAGGCGAACCCUCAUCACGCUCGCAAGAGCGAGGGAACCGGAGGAAGUGAAACAUCUGAGUACUCCGAGGAAAAGAAAACAUUCCGUGAGUAGUGGCGAGCGAAAGCGGAGCAGCCCAAACCGGUGGACGUGUCCACCGGGGUAGUAGGACCCUGGGAAACCGAGGAAGUCGAAGUGGAAGGGCGUGGGAAAGCCGACCAGAGAGGGUGAGAGUCCCGUACACGCAGACGACUGAGGGGCAGGGGAUCCUGAGUACCGCGACGCACGCUAACGUUGCGGGAAACUGGGAGGUCCACCUUCCAAGGCUAAAUACACUGGACGACCGAUAGCGGAACAGUACCGUGAGGGAAAGGUGAAAAGAACCCCAGCGAGGGGAGUGAAAAGACUCUGAAACCGUAUGCUUACAACCGGUCGGAGGGGUGAAGACCCUGACGGCGUGCCUUUUGGAGAAUGAGCCUGCGAGUUGAUCGACGUGGCAAGCUUAAGACAGGGACAGUCGGAGGCGAAGCGAAAGCGAGUCUGAAGAGGGCGUAGAGUCGCGGCGAUCAGACACGAAACCAGGUGAGCUACCCAUGGUCAGGUUGAAGCGCGCGUAACAGCGCGUGGAGGACCGAACUCACAAAUGCUGCAAAAUUUGGGGAUGAACUGUGGGUAGAGGUGAUAUGCCAAACGAACUUGGAGAUAGCUUGUUCUCCCCGAAAUAGCUUUAGGGCUAGCGUUUGGCGAAGAGUGCCGGAGGUAGAGCACUGGAUGGGCUAGGGGGCGUCAAGCUUACUGAACCCAACCAAACUCCGAAUGCCGGUCACUUGCGUCAGGCAGUCGGACGGCGGGAGAUGAGUUUCGUCGUCGAGAGGGAAAGAACCCAGACCCACGGCUAAGGUCCUGAAGUGCGGGUUAAGUGGGAAACGAUGUGACCGUGUUGAGACAGCCAGGAGGUUGGCUUAGAAGCAGCCACCCUUUAAAGAGUGCGUAACAGCUCACUGGUCAAACGCGGUUGCGCGGAUAAUGUAACGGGGCUAAACCCGCCACCGAAGCUAGGGACUGUCCAGCAAUGGACAGUGGUAGGGGAGCGUCGUGAUUGCGGAGAAGGCAGAUCGGCAAGGUCUGUUGGAGCGGUCACGAGUGCGAAUGCAGGCAUGAGUAGCGUAAAAGAUGUGAGAACCAUCUUCGCCGAACAUCUAAGGUUUCCGACGGAAGGUCAGUCCGCGUCGGGUUAGUCGGGCCUAAGCCGAGGCGUCACAGCGUAGGCGAUGGACAACUGGUGAAUAUUCCAGUACCGGUGGGUGGAGCAAAGCGCACAUUUUGAGGAGUGACAGCCCUUGCAGUGGAUGAGGGUGGUAAGCGGAGGAAGACCGCGAUGCCGGGCGCAAGCCAGAAGUGUCGGGUACUCGAAAUCGAGAAAAGGCGUGAAGCGAUGAAACCCAGCGUCCGUACCACAAACCGACACUGGUAGAUGGGUUGAGGAUACUAAGGCGAACGGGAGAACCUUCGUUAAGGAACUAGGCAAAAAGGCCCCGUAACUUCGGGAGAAGGGGCGCCAGCGCGAGCUGGCCGCAGCAAAAAGGCUCUAUCGACUGUUUACCAAAAACACAGGUCUCUGCGAACGCGGAAGCGGACGUAUAGGGGCUGACGCCUGCCCAGUGCCGGAAGGUUAAGAGGAGGGGUUCACGCUCUGAAUUGAAGCCCCGGUGAACGGCGGCCGUAACUAUAACGGUCCUAAGGUAGCGAAAUUCCUUGUC